RNAcentral lists this ribosomal RNA (316 nucleotides) under uncultured Rhizophagus. Its description in RNAcentral is "LSU rRNA". The record is from RNAcentral. Lineage: Eukaryota; Fungi; Glomeromycota; Glomeromycetes; Glomerales; Glomeraceae.
CCUUUUGGGUGUGAUUUUGUGGAGCGUGAGGAGUUAAACGCCCUCAUGCCUGCAUAUUCGUGCACUUUGGGUGUACUUGCCCGUGUGUAAGUUAACAUCAAUUUUGGUGGUCAUAAAAUGGCUGGAGGAAUGUAGCUUCGAUCUUGUAUUGAAGUGUUAUAGCCUUCGGUAGAUGUGACGAUCGGGAUUGAGGAUUGCAACGGAUACCCUUUGGGGCUACCUGUCUGACCUCUGAUUGUUGCUCUGGUGCCGAAAGCUUGCUUACGGUUAUCAAAGUCGAUGGUCAAUAGGUUAGAAUGGGUUAAAUUCGUUAAGG